AUUGAACGCUGGCGGCAGGCCUAACACAUGCAAGUCGAGCGGAUGAAGGGAGCCUGCUCCUGGAUUCAGCGGCGGACGGGUGAGUAAUGCCUAGGAAUCUGCCUGGUAGUGGGGGAUAACGUCCGGAAACGGGCGCUAAUACCGCAUACGUCCUGAGGGAGAAAGUGGGGGAUCUUCGGACCCCACGCUAUCAGAUGAGCCUAGGUCGGAUUAGCUAGUUGGUGGGGUAAAGGCCUACCAAGGCGACGAUCCGUAACUGGUCUGAGAGGAUGAUCAGUCACACUGGAACUGAGACACGGUCCAGACUCCUACGGGAGGCAGCAGUGGGGAAUAUUGGACAAUGGGCGAAGGCCUGAUCCAGCCAUGCCGCGUGUGUGAAGAAGGUCUUCGGAUUGUAAAGCACUUUAAGUUGGGAGGAAGGGCAGUAAGUUAAUACCUUGCUGUUUUGACGUUACCAACAGAAUAAGCACCGGCUAACUUCGU
RNAcentral lists this ribosomal RNA (483 nucleotides) under uncultured bacterium. Its description in RNAcentral is "partial 16S ribosomal RNA". It matches the Rfam family "Bacterial small subunit ribosomal RNA", at positions 30 to 506 of the family's 1533-position model. The record is from RNAcentral.